GGGGCUUGCCUCUCGAGGCUGGUGGCCCCCAUGUGCUUCCUGACUAUCUGGUCUCCUUGAGUUCCUCCUAAGUGAUGGGCCUUAGGCCAGAGGACCAAGAAGCUGUUCCACGUGGACGAGGCUCCUUUCAUUCUCGCCAGUGUUUUCCUGAUGAGAGUUCAAUGUGUGGUUCACAGGGCGUUCUAGUCUCACAUGAAGCCCCUGUGCAAUCCUGUGUUGGCAUCAGUGACACCAACAAAAGCAGAGAAAAGAGGGGUCCUCAAGAGCCUAUAUCUCUCUAGGAGGGAGAAUUGUCCAUUUUGAUACAAGGAGCUGUGGUCUCAAGGGAACCCGGAUUAAGAAGGCACUUUAGAAAGAACAUUCAGGCAGCUGUGUGAAAGUACUGCUGCAUGGGUGGAAGUGAUACCAAGAGUUGACCAGGUUGACGAGGAAACCUCAUCCUGGAAGAAGAUAGCAGGACGCCACAGAAUUCUAGUUUUUCUUCUAUUACCCUCCCUAUAGUGGCAUCACUUAUCUGACACCAUCAGCUAUCAAUUGAUUAAAACAUGUUGUCGUGUAUUCACAAAGAUUCAGAAAUUUAGAGCAGGAAAAGGAUACCUGGUAUAGCAUCUUCAUUGUAGAGACAACAAAAUUGAGGCUUAAACAGGUAAAGUGACUUUCUCAAAGUCAGUCAGAUAAUUAAUGCCUGAGGACAGAGGCUUCGUGGUGCUUAGUUUUGGUCUUUCCACAGAGCACCAUGGGAAACGCUCUCUC
Aethalodelphis obliquidens (Pacific white-sided dolphin) is the source of this 753-nucleotide long non-coding RNA. RefSeq lists it as uncharacterized. NCBI's taxonomy places the organism in Eukaryota, Metazoa, Chordata, Mammalia, Artiodactyla, Delphinidae. The transcript is spliced from 3 exons. The record is from RefSeq and is a predicted model, not a curated record.